This 378-nucleotide ribosomal RNA is filed under the name uncultured bacterium. Its description in RNAcentral is "bacterial SSU rRNA". It matches the Rfam family "Bacterial small subunit ribosomal RNA", at positions 790 to 1168 of the family's 1533-position model. The record is from RNAcentral.
GUAGUCCAUGCCGUAAACGGUGGGCGCUAGGUGUGAGUCCCUUCCACGGGGUUCGUGCCGUAGCUAACGCAUUAAGCGCCCCGCCUGGGGAGUACGGCCGCAAGGCUAAAACUCAAAGGAAUUGACGGGGGCCCGCACAAGCGGCGGAGCAUGUGGAUUAAUUCGAUGCAACGCGAAGAACCUUACCUGGGCUUGACAUACACCAGAUCGGCGCAGAGAUGCGUUUUCCCUUGUGGUUGGUGUACAGGUGGUGCAUGGUUGUCGUCAGCUCGUGUCGUGAGAUGUUGGGUUAAGUCCCGCAACGAGCGCAACCCUUGUCUUAUGUUGCCAGCACGUGAUGGUGGGGACUCAUGAGAGACUGCCGGGGUUAACUCGGAG